This 468-nucleotide ribosomal RNA is filed under the name uncultured bacterium. RNAcentral's name for it is "partial 16S ribosomal RNA". It matches the Rfam family "Bacterial small subunit ribosomal RNA", at positions 28 to 507 of the family's 1533-position model. The record is from RNAcentral.
GACGAACGCUGGCGGCGUGCUUAACACAUGCAAGUCGAACGGAAAGGCCCUGCUUUUGUGGGGUGCUCGAGUGGCGAACGGGUGAGUAACACGUGAGUAACCUGCCCUUGACUUUGGUAUAACUUCAGGAAACUGGGGCUAAUACCGGAUAGGAGCUCCUGCUGCAUGGUGGGGGUUGGAAAGUUUCGGCGGGUGGGGAUGGACUCGCGGCUUACCAGCUUGUUGGUGGGGUAGUGGCUUACCAAGGCUUUGACGGGUAGCCGGCCUGAGAGGGUGACCGGCCACAUUGGGACUGGGAUACGGCCCAGACUCCUAGGGGAGGCAGCAGUGGGGAAUAUUGAACAAUGGGCGGAAGCCUGAUGCAGCAACGCCGCGUGCGGGAUGACGGCCUUCGGGUUGAAAACCGCUUUCGCCUGUGACGAAGCGUGAGUGACGGUAAUGGGUAAAGAAGCACCGGCUAACUACGUG